Molecule: unclassified non-coding RNA, 346 nt
Filed under: soil metagenome
Description: partial contains 5.8S ribosomal RNA, internal transcribed spacer 2, and large subunit ribosomal RNA
Rfam family: 5.8S ribosomal RNA (bases 1-120)
Source: RNAcentral
GAUGAAGAACGUAGCGAAAUGCGAUACGUAAUGUGAAUUGCAGAAUUCAGUGAAUCAUCGAGUCUUUGAACGCACAUUGCGCCCCCUGGUAUUCCGGGGGGCAUGCCUGUCCGAGCGUCAUUGCUGCCCUCAAGCCCGGCUUGUGUGUUGAGUCUCGUCCCCCUUCCCGGGGGGACGGGCCCGAAAGGCAGCGGCGGCACCGCGUCCGGUCCUCGAGCGUAUGGGGCUUUGUCACCCGCUCUGUAGGCCCGGCCGGCGCUUGCCGAUCAACCAAAACUUUUUUCCAGGUUGACCUCGGAUCAGGUAGGGAUACCCGCUGAACUUAAGCAUAUCAAUAAGCGGAGGA